This 330-nucleotide ribosomal RNA is filed under the name uncultured organism. RNAcentral's name for it is "bacterial SSU rRNA". It matches the Rfam family "Bacterial small subunit ribosomal RNA", at positions 120 to 482 of the family's 1533-position model. The record is from RNAcentral.
AAGAACCUGCCCUUGGGAGGGGAACAACAGCUGGAAACGGCUGCUAAUACCCCAUAGGCUGAGGAGCAAAAGGAGGAAUCCGCCCAAGGAGGGGCUCGCGUCUGAUUAGUUAGUUGGUGAGGCAAUGGCUUACCAAGGCGACGAUCAGUGGCUGGUCCGAGAGGAUGAUCAGCCACACUGGGACUGAGACACGGCCCAUACUCCUACGGGAGGCAGCAGUGGGGAAUUUUCCGCAAUGGGCGAAAGCCUGACGGACCAAUGCCGCGUGAAGGCGAAGGCCCACGGGUCAUGAACUUCUUUUCUCGGAGAAGAAAAAAUGACGGUAUCUGA